AUGCCUUAAACUUAUGAGUAAGAAAAAUAAUGAUUUGGGGUGACACCCGAGUCCUUACUGCUAAUGUGAGAUGAAAUUUGGGUGGGUAAAGGUUGCCCUUAAGGUGACCCACCUACUUUGCAGGAUGCCUGGGAGUCGCGAUCUGCCCA
This 149-nucleotide small nuclear RNA is filed under the name Carlito syrichta (Philippine tarsier). RNAcentral describes it as "U12 minor spliceosomal RNA (ENSTSYG00000029676.1)". It matches the Rfam family "U12 minor spliceosomal RNA". From Rfam's summary of the family: Although the U12 sequence is very divergent from that of U2, the two are functionally analogous. Lineage: Eukaryota; Metazoa; Chordata; Mammalia; Primates; Tarsiidae. The record is from Rfam by way of RNAcentral.